AUUCCAGCUCCAAUAGCGUAUAUUAAUGUUGUUGCAGUUAAGAAGCUCGUAGUUGGAUUUCUGGAUUGAGCGGCUGGCCUUGCGCGCAAGCGUUCGUGUCGGCUUCGUUUCGGUCCAUCCUCAGGGGGACUUGCGCUGGCAUUAACGUGUCGGUGUUGGGACGCCUGUCGUUUACUGUGAACAAAUUAGAGUGUUCAAAGCAAGGUGUACUUGAAUACAUUAGCAUGGAAUAAUAAGAUAGGACUUUGGUGGUUCUUUUUGAUAUUUUGUUGGUUUGCACGCCAAAGUAAUGAUUAAUAGGAGCAGUUGGGGGUAUUCGUAUUCAAUUGUCAGAGGUGAAAUUCUUGGAUUUAUAGAAGACGAACUACUGCGAAAGCAUUUACCAAGGAUGUUUUCAUUA
RNAcentral lists this ribosomal RNA (400 nucleotides) under Pseudopedinella sp. RNAcentral describes it as "partial small subunit ribosomal RNA". It matches the Rfam family "Eukaryotic small subunit ribosomal RNA", at positions 582 to 975 of the family's 1831-position model. Lineage: Eukaryota; Dictyochophyceae; Pedinellales. The record is from RNAcentral.